GGUCCUUCUCCCUCACCUACAGUAAGACACUAUUAAUAACUACAACCAGGUCCUUCUCCCUCACCUACAGUAAGACACUAUUAAUAACUACAACCAGGUCCUUCUCCCUCACCUACAGUAAGACACUAUUAGUAACUACAACCAGGUCCUUCUCCCUCACCUACAGUAAGACAGUAUUAAUAACUACAACCAGGUCCUUCUCCCUCACCUACAGUAAGACAGUAUUAAUAAAUACAACCAGGUCCUUCUCCCUCACCUACAGUAAGACACUAUUAAUAACUACAACCAGGUCCUUCUCCCUCACCUACAGUAAGACACUAUUAAUAACUGCAACCAGGUCCUUCUCCCUCACCUACAGUAAGACACUAUUAAUAACUACAACCAGGUCCUUCUCCCUCACCUACAGUAAGACACUAUUAAUAACUACAACCAGGUCCUUCUCCCUCACCUACAGUAAGACACUAUUAAUAACUACAACCAGGUCCUUCUCCCUCACCUACAGUAAGACAGUAUUAAUAACUACAACCAGGUCCUUCUCCCUCACCUACAGUAAGACACUAUUAAUAACUACAACCAGGUCCUUCUCCCUCACCU
Oncorhynchus keta (chum salmon) is the source of this 594-nucleotide long non-coding RNA. RefSeq lists it as uncharacterized. Lineage: Eukaryota; Metazoa; Chordata; Actinopteri; Salmoniformes; Salmonidae. The transcript has 3 exons. The record is from RefSeq and is a predicted model, not a curated record.